This 85-nucleotide transfer RNA is filed under the name Gemmatimonadota bacterium. RNAcentral describes it as "Gemmatimonadetes bacterium tRNA-Leu". It matches the Rfam family "tRNA". Rfam says of the family: Transfer RNA (tRNA) molecules are approximately 80 nucleotides in length. Their secondary structure includes four short double-helical elements and three loops (D, anti-codon, and T loops). Further hydrogen bonds mediate the characteristic L-shaped molecular structure. tRNAs have two regions of fundamental functional importance: the anti-codon, which is responsible for specific mRNA codon recognition, and the 3' end, to which the tRNAs corresponding amino acid is attached (by aminoacyl-tRNA synthetases). tRNAs cope with the degeneracy of the genetic code in two manners: having more than one tRNA (with a specific anti-codon) for a particular amino acid; and 'wobble' base-pairing, i.e. permitting non-standard base-pairing at the 3rd anti-codon position. The record is from RNAcentral. Lineage: Bacteria; Pseudomonadati; Gemmatimonadota.
GCCGGGGUGGCGAAACUGGCUAGACGCAAGGGACUUAAAAUCCCUCGGGAGCAAUCCCAUCCGGGUUCGAUUCCCGGCCCCGGCA